RNAcentral lists this ribosomal RNA (474 nucleotides) under uncultured bacterium. RNAcentral's name for it is "bacterial SSU rRNA". It matches the Rfam family "Bacterial small subunit ribosomal RNA", at positions 28 to 499 of the family's 1533-position model. The record is from RNAcentral.
GACGAACGCUGGCGGCGUGCCUAGCACAUGCAAGUCGAACGGAACUGUUUUGAAAGAUUUCUUCGGAAUGAAUUUGAUUUAGUUUAGUGGCGGACGGGUGAGUAACGCGUGAGUAACCUGCCUUCAAGAGGGGGAUAACAUUCUGAAAAGAAUGCUAAUACCGCAUGAUAUAUCGGAACCACAUGGUUUUGAUAUCAAAGAUUUUAUCGCUUGAAGAUGGACUCGCGUCCGAUUAGUUAGUUGGUGAGGUAACGGCUCACCAAGACCGCGAUCGGUAGCCGGACUGAGAGGUUGAACGGCCACAUUGGGACUGAGACACGGCCCAGACUCCUACGGGAGGCAGCAGUGGGGGAUAUUGCGCAAUGGGGGCAACCCUGACGCAGCAACGCCGCGUGAAGGAUGAAGGUUUUCGGAUUGUAAACUUCUUUUAUUAAGGACGAAAAAUGACGGUACUUAAUGAAUAAGCUCCGGCUA